CUAGUACGGGAGGCAGCAGUGAGGAAUAUUGGUCAAUGGGCGAGAGCCUGAACCAGCCAAGUAGCGUGCAGGAAGACGGCCCCAUGGGUUGUAAACUGCUUUUGUAUGGGGAUAAAGUCAAUCACGUGUGAUUGUUUGCAGGUACCAUACGAAUAAGGACCGGCUAAUUCCGUGCCAGCAGCCGCGGUAAUCUAG
RNAcentral lists this ribosomal RNA (195 nucleotides) under uncultured bacterium. Its description in RNAcentral is "partial 16S ribosomal RNA". It matches the Rfam family "Bacterial small subunit ribosomal RNA", at positions 335 to 528 of the family's 1533-position model. The record is from RNAcentral.